CCUCCGGGCGCCCAACCUCCCACCCGUGACUACCUAACACUGUUGCUUCGGCGGGGAGCCCUCUCGGGGGCGAGCCGCCGGGGACUACUGAACUUCAUGCCUGAGAGUGAUGCAGUCUGAGUCUGAAUAUAAAAUCAGUCAAAACUUUCAACAAUGGAUCUCUUGGUUCCGGCAUCGAUGAAGAACGCAGCGAACUGCGAUAAGUAAUGUGAAUUGCAGAAUUCAGUGAAUCAUCGAGUCUUUGAACGCACAUUGCGCCCCCUGGCAUUCCGGGGGGCAUGCCUGUCCGAGCGUCAUUGCUGCCCAUCAAGCCCGGCUUGUGUGUUGGGUCGUCGUCCCCCCCGGGGGACGGGCCCGAAAGGCAGCGGCGGCACCGUGUCCGGUCCUCGAGCGUAUGGGGCUUUGUCACCCGCUCGAUUAGGGCCGGCCGGGCGCCAGCCGACGUCUCCAACCAUUUUCUUCAGGUUGACCUCGGAUCAGGUAGGGAUACCCGCUGAACUUAAGCAUAUCAAUAAGCGGGGGAAAAGAAAA
RNAcentral lists this ribosomal RNA (531 nucleotides) under Aspergillus tennesseensis. Its description in RNAcentral is "eukaryotic LSU rRNA". The stretch from base 143 to 296 matches the Rfam family "5.8S ribosomal RNA". Lineage: Eukaryota; Fungi; Ascomycota; Eurotiomycetes; Eurotiales; Aspergillaceae. The record is from RNAcentral.